RNAcentral lists this ribosomal RNA (1019 nucleotides) under uncultured archaeon. Its description in RNAcentral is "bacterial SSU rRNA". It matches the Rfam family "Archaeal small subunit ribosomal RNA", at positions 455 to 1478 of the family's 1478-position model. The record is from RNAcentral.
GUGCCAGCCGCCGCGGUAAUACCAGCCCCGCGAGUGAUCGAGACGUUUAUUGGGCUUAAAGCGCCCGUAGCCGGCCCGUAAAGUCACCGUUUAGAGACCCGAGCUCAACUCGGGGAGUGGCGGUGAUACUUACGGGCUAGGGGGCGGGAAAGGUCGGAGGUACUCCCGGAGUAGGGGCGAAAUCCUCAGAUCCCGGGAGGACCACCAGUGGCGAAAGCGUCCGGCUAGAACGCGCCCGACGGUGAGGGGCGAAAGCGGGGUAGCAAAAGGGAUUAGAUACCCCUGUAGUCCCGGCUGUAAACGAUGCGGGCUAGGUGUCGCGUGGGCUUUGAGCCACGGGUGCCGCAGGAAAACUGGUAAGCCCGCCGCCUGGGGAGUACGGCCGCAAGGUGAAACUUAAAGGAAUUGGCGGGGGAGCACCACAAGGGGCGGAACCUGCGGCUCAAUUGGAGUCAACGCCUGGAAUCUCACCGGGGGAGACCGCAGAUGACGGCCAGGCUAACGACCUUGCCAGACUCGCGGAGAGGAGGUGCAUGGCCGUCGCCAGCUCGUGUUGUGAAAUGUCCGGUUAAGUCCGGCAACGAGCGAGACCCCACUUCUAGUUGGUAGCCGUUCCUCCGGGGAUGGCCCACACUAGAAGGACUGCCGGUGUUAAACCGGAGGAAGGAGGGGGCCACGGCAGGUCAGCAUGCCCCGAAACCUCCGGGCCGCACGCGGGUUACAAUGGCAGGGACAGCGGGAUCCGACCCCGAAAGGGGAAGGCAAUCCCACAAACCCUGCCUCAGUUGGGAUCGAGGGCUGAAACUCGCCCUCGUGAACGAGGAAUCCCUAGUAACCGCGGGUCAACAACCCGCGGUGAAUACGUCCCUGCUCCUUGCACACACCGCCCGUCGCUCCACCCGAGUGGAGGAGAAGUGAGCCCUCUUGCUUCGGGGUGGGAGGUCGAGCUUCUCCUCCGCGAGGGGGGAGAAGUCGUAACAAGGUAGCCGUAGGGGCAACUGCGGCUGGAUCACCUCCUU